This 293-nucleotide unclassified non-coding RNA is filed under the name uncultured fungus. Its description in RNAcentral is "sequence contains ITS1". Lineage: Eukaryota; Fungi. The record is from RNAcentral.
GGACUACAGGGGUUUCUAAUCCUGUUUGCUCCCCACGCUUUCGCACCUCAGUGUCAGUAUCAGUCCAGGUGGUCGCCUUCGCCACUGGUGUUCCUUCCUAUAUCUACGCAUUUCACCGCUACACAGGAAAUUCCACCACCCUCUACCGUACUCUAGCCAGACAGUUUUGGAUGCAGUUCCCAGGUUGAGCCCAGGGCUUUCACAUCCAACUUAUCAAACCACCUACGCGCGCUUUACGCCCAGUAAUUCCGAUUAACGCUUGCACCCUCUGUAUUACCGCGGCUGCUGGCACU